RNAcentral lists this non-coding RNA (146 nucleotides) under uncultured Gemmiger sp. RNAcentral describes it as "glmS glucosamine-6-phosphate activated ribozyme". It matches the Rfam family "glmS glucosamine-6-phosphate activated ribozyme aptamer", at positions 12 to 151 of the family's 167-position model. From Rfam's summary of the family: This entry contains a glucosamine-6-phosphate activated ribozyme that is found in the mRNA for GlmS. Lineage: Bacteria; Bacillati; Bacillota; Clostridia; Eubacteriales; Oscillospiraceae. The record is from RNAcentral.
AGGAGAGCGCCGGGCCAUGCGGCAGACAGGCCGUAAGGGUGACGAGGUGAGGGUUUAUCGAAAGAUUCGGCGGGUGACCCUCUGGCUGUGGACCGCACAGUCAUCAGCAGCGGAGCAAAACCCGGCAGCAAUGCCGGAACAGAGAA